This 2317-nucleotide ribosomal RNA is filed under the name Staphylococcus aureus. RNAcentral describes it as "partial 23S ribosomal RNA". It matches the Rfam family "Bacterial large subunit ribosomal RNA", at positions 61 to 2318 of the family's 2925-position model. The record is from RNAcentral. Lineage: Bacteria; Bacillati; Bacillota; Bacilli; Caryophanales; Staphylococcaceae.
NNNNNNNNNNNNNNNNNNNNNNNNNNNNNNNNNNNNNNNNNNNNNNNNNNNNNNNNNNNNNNACAACGAUAUGCUUUGGGGAGCUGUAAGUAAGCUUUGAUCCAGAGAUUUCCGAAUGGGGAAACCCAGCAUGAGUUAUGUCAUGUUAUCGAUAUGUGAAUACAUAGCAUAUCAGAAGGCACACCCGGAGAACUGAAACAUCUUAGUACCCGGAGGAAGAGAAAGAAAAUUCGAUUCCCUUAGUAGCGGCGAGCGAAACGGGAAGAGCCCAAACCAACAAGCUUGCUUGUUGGGGUUGUAGGACACUCUAUACGGAGUUACAAAGGACGACAUUAGACGAAUCAUCUGGAAAGAUGAAUCAAAGAAGGUAAUAAUCCUGUAGUCGAAAAUGUUGUCUCUCUUGAGUGGAUCCUGAGUACGACGGAGCACGUGAAAUUCCGUCGGAAUCUGGGAGGACCAUCUCCUAAGGCUAAAUACUCUCUAGUGACCGAUAGUGAACCAGUACCGUGAGGGAAAGGUGAAAAGCACCCCGGAAGGGGAGUGAAAUAGAACCUGAAACCGUGUGCUUACAAGUAGUCAGAGCCCGUUAAUGGGUGAUGGCGUGCCUUUUGUAGAAUGAACCGGCGAGUUACGAUUUGAUGCAAGGUUAAGCAGUAAAUGUGGAGCCGUAGCGAAAGCGAGUCUGAAUAGGGCGUUUAGUAUUUGGUCGUAGACCCGAAACCAGGUGAUCUACCCUUGGUCAGGUUGAAGUUCAGGUAACACUGAAUGGAGGACCGAACCGACUUACGUUGAAAAGUGAGCGGAUGAACUGAGGGUAGCGGAGAAAUUCCAAUCGAACCUGGAGAUAGCUGGUUCUCUCCGAAAUAGCUUUAGGGCUAGCCUCAAGUGAUGAUUAUUGGAGGUAGAGCACUGUUUGGACGAGGGGCCCCUCUCGGGUUACCGAAUUCAGACAAACUCCGAAUGCCAAUUAAUUUAACUUGGGAGUCAGAACAUGGGUGAUAAGGUCCGUGUUCGAAAGGGAAACAGCCCAGACCACCAGCUAAGGUCCCAAAAUAUAUGUUAAGUGGAAAAGGAUGUGGCGUUGCCCAGACAACUAGGAUGUUGGCUUAGAAGCAGCCAUCAUUUAAAGAGUGCGUAAUAGCUCACUAGUCGAGUGACACUGCGCCGAAAAUGUACCGGGGCUAAACAUAUUACCGAAGCUGUGGAUUGUCCUUUGGACAAUGGUAGGAGAGCGUUCUAAGGGCGUUGAAGCAUGAUCGUAAGGACAUGUGGAGCGCUUAGAAGUGAGAAUGCCGGUGUGAGUAGCGAAAGACGGGUGAGAAUCCCGUCCACCGAUUGACUAAGGUUUCCAGAGGAAGGCUCGUCCGCUCUGGGUUAGUCGGGUCCUAAGCUGAGGCCGACAGGCGUAGGCGAUGGAUAACAGGUUGAUAUUCCUGUACCACCUAUAAUCGUUUUAAUCGAUGGGGGGACGCAGUAGGAUAGGCGAAGCGUGCGAUUGGAUUGCACGUCUAAGCAGUAAGGCUGAGUAUUAGGCAAAUCCGGUACUCGUUAAGGCUGAGCUGUGAUGGGGAGAAGACAUUGUGUCUUCGAGUCGUUGAUUUCACACUGCCGAGAAAAGCCUCUAGAUAGAAAAUAGGUGCCCGUACCGCAAACCGACACAGGUAGUCAAGAUGAGAAUUCUAAGGUGAGCGAGCGAACUCUCGUUAAGGAACUCGGCAAAAUGACCCCGUAACUUCGGGAGAAGGGGUGCUCUUUAGGGUUAACGCCCAGAAGAGCCGCAGUGAAUAGGCCCAAGCGACUGUUUAUCAAAAACACAGGUCUCUGCUAAACCGUAAGGUGAUGUAUAGGGGCUGACGCCUGCCCGGUGCUGGAAGGUUAAGAGGAGUGGUUAGCUUCUGCGAAGCUACGAAUCGAAGCCCCAGUAAACGGCGGCCGUAACUAUAACGGUCCUAAGGUAGCGAAAUUCCUUGUCGGGUAAGUUCCGACCCGCACGAAAGGCGUAACGAUUUGGGCACUGUCUCAACGAGAGACUCGGUGAAAUCAUAGUACCUGUGAAGAUGCAGGUUACCCGCGACAGGACGGAAAGACCCCGUGGAGCUUUACUGUAGCCUGAUAUUGAAAUUCGGCACAGCUUGUACAGGAUAGGUAGGAGCCUUUGAAACGUGAGCGCUAGCUUACGUGGAGGCGCUGGUGGGAUACUACCCUAGCUGUGUUGGCUUUCUAACCCGCACCACUUAUCGUGGUGGGAGACAGUGUCAGGCGGGCAGUUUGACUGGGGCGGUCGCCUCCUAAAAGGUAACGGAGGCGCUCAAAGGUU